Molecule: long non-coding RNA, 220 nt
Filed under: Olea europaea (common olive)
Lineage: Eukaryota; Viridiplantae; Streptophyta; Magnoliopsida; Lamiales; Oleaceae
Description: long non-coding RNA (OEUR_LNC011941)
Source: RNAcentral
UUAGCCUUGAGCUCGAGUUCGUGAAGAUAUUUAGCGAUUCACAACUGGUGGUCGGACAGAUUGAAGGAUCAUUUGAAAGGAAAUACGAGAAAAUGAGUUUGUACUGUAUGAAGGUUCAGGAUCUUCAACGAAAAUUCAAGAGUUGUGAAAUUGCAAAAAUUGCUCGAAAGGACAACGAAAAAGCCAACGCAUUAUCCAGACUUGUGUUCAUGGGGGUAGA